RNAcentral lists this ribosomal RNA (425 nucleotides) under uncultured bacterium. Its description in RNAcentral is "partial 16S ribosomal RNA". It matches the Rfam family "Bacterial small subunit ribosomal RNA", at positions 354 to 796 of the family's 1533-position model. The record is from RNAcentral.
GUGGGGAAUAUUGGACAAUGGGCGCAAGCCUGAUCCAGCCAUGCCGCGUGUGUGAUGAAGGCCUUAGGGUUGUAAAGCACUUUUGUCCGGGAAGAUAAUGACUGUACCGGAAGAAUAAGCCCCGGCUAACUUCGUGCCAGCAGCCGCGGUAAUACGAAGGGGGCUAGCGUUGCUCGGAAUCACUGGGCGUAAAGGGCGCGUAGGCGGACUCUUAAGUCGGGGGUGAAAGCCCAGGGCUCAACCCUGGAAUUGCCUUCGAUACUGAGAGUCUUGAGUUCGGAAGAGGUUGGUGGAACUGCGAGUGUAGAGGUGAAAUUCGUAGAUAUUCGCAAGAACACCAGUGGCGAAGGCGGCCAACUGGUCCGAUACUGACGCUGAGGCGCGAAAGCGUGGGGAGCAAACAGGAUUAGAAACCCCAGUAGUCC